Molecule: ribosomal RNA, 460 nt
Filed under: uncultured bacterium
Lineage: Bacteria
Description: partial 16S ribosomal RNA
Rfam family: Bacterial small subunit ribosomal RNA
Source: RNAcentral
CCUACGGGUGGCAGCAGUGAGGAAUAUUGGUCAAUGGACGGAAGUCUGAACCAGCCAUGCCGCGUGCAGGAUGACGGCUCUAUGAGUUGUAAACUUCUUUUGUACGAGAAUAAUAGUUCUUACGUGUAGGGUUUUGAAUGUAUCGUACGAAUAAGGAUCGGCUAACUCCGUGCCAGCAGCCGCGGUAAUACGGAGGAUUCGAGCGUUAUCCGGAUUUAUUGGGUUUAAAGGGUGCGUAGGCUGUCGGAUAAGUUAGAGGUCAAAUUUCGGGGCUUAACCCCGUGCCUGCCUCUGAUACUGUUAGACUAGAGAGCGGAUGCAGUAGGCGGAAUGAGUAGUGUAGCGGUGAAAUGCUUAGAUAUUACUCAGAACACCGAUUGCGCAGGCAGCUUGCUAAGCCGCAUCUGACGCUGAUGCACGAAAGCGUGGGUAGCGAACAGGAUUAGAUACCCGGGUAGUC